CCUACGAGUGGCAGCAGUGAGGAAUAUUGGUCAAUGGGCGCGAGCCUGAACCAGCCAAGUAGCGUGAAGGAUGGCUGCCCUACGGGUUGUAAACUUCUGUUAUAAAGGAAUAAAGUGAGGCACGUGUGCCUUUUUGUAUGUACUUGAUGAAUAAGGAUCGGCUAACUCCGUGCCAGCAGCCGCGGUAAGAGGGAGGAUCCGAGCGUUAUCCGGAUUUAUUGGGGUUAAAGGGAGCGUAGAUGGGUUGUUAGGUCAGUUGUGAAAGUGUGCGGCUCAACCGUAAAAUUGCAAUUGAUACUGGCAGCCUUGAGUACAGUUGGGGUAGGCGGAAUUCGUGGUGUAGCGGUGAAAUGCUUAGAUAGCACGAAGAACUCCGAUUGCGAAGGCAGCCUACUAAACUGCCACUGACAUUGAUGCUCGAAAGUGUGGGUAUCAAACAGGAUUAGAUACCCUAGUAGUC
Molecule: ribosomal RNA, 460 nt
Filed under: uncultured bacterium
Lineage: Bacteria
Description: partial 16S ribosomal RNA
Rfam family: Bacterial small subunit ribosomal RNA
Source: RNAcentral